ACGCUCGACACCUAUGGGAGGCAGCAGUCGGGAAUAUUGCGCAAUGGAGGAAACUCUGACGCAGUGACGCCGCGUAUAGGAAGAAGGUUUUCGGAUUGUAAACUAUUGUCGUUAGGGAAGAAAAAGGACAGUACCUAAGGAGGAAGCUCCGGCUAACUACGUGCCAACAGCCGCGGUAAUCUGAGCGGGCUGGCAAGGC
Molecule: ribosomal RNA, 199 nt
Filed under: uncultured bacterium
Lineage: Bacteria
Description: partial 16S ribosomal RNA
Rfam family: Bacterial small subunit ribosomal RNA
Source: RNAcentral